This 1319-nucleotide ribosomal RNA is filed under the name Triticum aestivum (bread wheat). RNAcentral's name for it is "partial small subunit ribosomal RNA". Lineage: Eukaryota; Viridiplantae; Streptophyta; Magnoliopsida; Poales; Poaceae. The record is from RNAcentral.
CCGGGGAGGGGAUCACGUGGCGUCGGCGGGGGAGGGAUCGCGGUCGUGCAGCAUAAGGGUCACUGGGCGUUGGGUCCACGCGGCGUAGGGGUCACUGGAUGUUGGGGCCGCGCGGCGUAGGGGCCGCUGGGGAUCGGGGUCGCGCGGGGAAGGGGCCACGGAGGCUAGGGGUGGGCGGUGGCAGCGAGGAGGCCAGGCCGCUCUGGUCGUGACGGGAGCUGAGAUGUUGUGUAGAGGCGAGGAUAGCGUAGAGUCCAGUCGAGACGUCCGGAGGGAGGAAGACAGCAAGGAGGGUCGGGGGAGUAGAGAAAGCUCCACGAGCCGAGCGACGGAGCAUGAACUGGAAGGGCGAGGAGGUGGGGACAUGGCGGCGAGGGAGGACGACAGGAGUGGGUGUUCGAGCCAGGGAACUGUCUUUAACAACAUAGGAUGGCCACGAUGAAGAGGCUGCUCCAGUAACACAACGUAUACGCGACCGUUUGUUGUAGCAGAGACCAAAACAAAGGGAAUUGUUAGCUCUGCCGUACGAGGUGAACCGAAGUUUACGUGGCACCCGGACGAGGUGAACCGAAGGUGUCGUGGUGGCCGUCUGCUCGGGCCUACGGUAGCAGGCUUGACGGUGUGGCGGGUCGGCGUUGCGAGGAGGUCGGUGGUAGGCCGCCGCGUGCCACGAGGUUCAUGCAGGACACCUACGGAGGAGGAGAACGGAUGAGAAACGCUUCGCGUGCUGGCAGAGGGAAGACGGGGUAGGUAGGUCCAGCGUGGGAGAAGGAAGACGUCCGGUGGUGGAGGACGAAGACGUCCGGCACGGUGUAGGGGGGUGGGCGUCGCCUGUCCGGCAAGUGGCGGCCGUGGUAUCAGGCAAGUGAUGGCUGUCGGUUCCGGCAAGUUGCUACGUUGCUGCUCAUGAUCAAACCUUCCGGUCCUUCAAGAUGAAGACCGUAUUCGGUUGCCUCGUAGCCAGCUUCUUCCGGCUACGCGGAGCACGGUCGAGGCCCGUAGCGGCCUCCGGGAUAGACAAGAAGGUGGGGGGGCCACGUGAGUGGCAGCUCGGAUAGGUACGUGUUGAGAUCAUAAAUACUCGAAGUCCGAACAGCAACAAGUACGUCUAAUUAAGAAACAAUUAACGAUAACGUGUAAGUCAUUUACAUCGGAAACAUAAGAGUCACUUCAAAAUAACACUUCUACAAAAUUACGUGUGGCUUUGGUCUAACAGACGACGAUGUACGCGUAGUAUACGCAUAAAAAGGUAGCUCUUUGGAGUAGUAUACAUUUACAGAAGAUUGAGAUCUAAAACUACUACGUUUCAACAUAGGCAC